UGAGUAACACGUAUGCAAUCCACCUGUAACAGGGGGAUAACCCGGAGAAAUCCGGACUAAUACCCCAUAAUAUGGGCGCUCCGCAUGGAGAGUCCAUUAAAGAGAGCAAUCUUGGUUACAGGCGAGCAUGCGCUCCAUUAGCCAGUUGGCGGGGUAACGGCCCACCAAGGCGACGAUGGAUAGGGGUUCUGAGAGGAAGGUCCCCCACAUUGGAACUGAGACACGGUCCAA
This 231-nucleotide ribosomal RNA is filed under the name uncultured bacterium. RNAcentral describes it as "partial 16S ribosomal RNA". It matches the Rfam family "Bacterial small subunit ribosomal RNA", at positions 107 to 334 of the family's 1533-position model. The record is from RNAcentral.